AUUGAACGCUGGCGGCAUGCCUUACACAUGCAAGUCGAACGGCAGCACGGGUGCUUGCACCUGGUGGCGAGUGGCGAACGGGUGAGUAAUACAUCGGAACAUGUCCUGUAGUGGGGGAUAGCCCGGCGAAAGCCGGAUUAAUACCGCAUACGAUCCACGGAUGAAAGCGGGGGACCUUCGGGCCUCGCGCUAUAGGGUUGGCCGAUGGCUGAUUAGCUAGUUGGUGGGGUAAAGGCCUACCAAGGCGACGAUCAGUAGCUGGUCUGAGAGGACGACCAGCCACACUGGGACUGAGACACGGCCCAGACUCCUACGGGAGGCAGCAGUGGGGAAUUUUGGACAAUGGGCGAAAGCCUGAUCCAGCAAUGCCGCGUGUGUGAAGAAGGCCUUCGGGUUGUAAAGCACUUUUGUCCGGAAAGAAAUCCUUGGCUCUAAUACAGUCGGGGGACGACGGUACCGGAAGAAUAAGCACCGGCUAACUACGUG
RNAcentral lists this ribosomal RNA (486 nucleotides) under uncultured bacterium. RNAcentral describes it as "partial 16S ribosomal RNA". It matches the Rfam family "Bacterial small subunit ribosomal RNA", at positions 30 to 507 of the family's 1533-position model. The record is from RNAcentral.